RNAcentral lists this ribosomal RNA (253 nucleotides) under uncultured bacterium. Its description in RNAcentral is "partial 16S ribosomal RNA". It matches the Rfam family "Bacterial small subunit ribosomal RNA", at positions 524 to 776 of the family's 1533-position model. The record is from RNAcentral.
UACGUAGGGGGCAAGCGUUGUCCGGAAUCAUUGGGCGUAAAGCGCGUGUAGGCGGCCCGAUAAGUCCGCUGUGAAAGCCCACGGCUCAACCGUGGAGGGUCAUUGGAAACUGGGGGACUUGAGUACAGAAGAGAAGAGUGGAAUUCCACGUGUAGCGGUGAAAUGCGUAGAGAUGUGGAGGAACACCAGUGGCGAAGGCGACUCUUUGGUCUGUAACUGACGCUGAGGCGCGAAAGCGUGGGGAGCAAACAGG